Molecule: ribosomal RNA, 428 nt
Filed under: uncultured eukaryote
Lineage: Eukaryota
Description: bacterial SSU rRNA
Rfam family: Eukaryotic small subunit ribosomal RNA
Source: RNAcentral
CAAGAGCGUAUAUUAAAGUUGUUGCAGUUAAAAAGCUCGUAGUUGGAUUUCUGGUACAAUGCGCCUGGCCCGCGGCAGUAAUGCCUGUGAGUGCCGGUGCGCGUUUGCCAUCCUUCUAGAAAACGUUUCUACCCUUUACUGGGCCGGACUCGCGAUCUAGAUAUUUUACCUUGAGAAAAUUAGAGUGUUUCAGGCAGGCUAGGCCGGAAUACAUUAGCAUGGAAUAAUGGAAUAGGACUACGGUCUCUUUGUUGGUUUUGAGGGACUGCAGUAAUGAUUAAUAGGGAUAGUUGGGGGCAUUAGUAUUUAAUUGUCAGAGGUGGAAUUCUCGGAUUUGUUAAAGACUAACUUAUGCGAAAGCAUUUGCCAAGGAUGUUUUCAUUAAUCAAGAACGAAAGUUAGGGGAGUCAAAGACGAUUAGAUACCGU